GUCUAUGGCCACGCUAUCCUGAACAAGCCCAAUCCUGUCUGAUCUCAGAAGCUAAGCAGGGUCAGGCCUGGUUAGUACUUGGAGAUACCACCUAGGAAGACUAGGUGCUAUAGGCA
RNAcentral lists this ribosomal RNA (116 nucleotides) under Pteropus alecto (black flying fox). The record is from RNAcentral. Lineage: Eukaryota; Metazoa; Chordata; Mammalia; Chiroptera; Pteropodidae.